Molecule: ribosomal RNA, 253 nt
Filed under: uncultured bacterium
Lineage: Bacteria
Description: partial 16S ribosomal RNA
Rfam family: Bacterial small subunit ribosomal RNA
Source: RNAcentral
UACGUAGGGGGCUAGCGUUGUCCGGAAUCAUUGGGCGUAAAGAGCGUGUAGGCGGUCCGGUAAGUCCGCUGUGAAAGUCGGGGGCUCAACCCUCGAAUGCCGGUGGAUACUGUCGGGCUAGAGUGCGGAAGAGGCGAGUGGAAUUCCUGGUGUAGCGGUGAAAUGCGCAGAUAUCAGGAGGAACACCUAUUGCGAAGGCAGCUCGCUGGGACGUAACCGACGCUGAGACGCGAAAGCGUGGGGAGCAAACAGG